AGUUGAUAGAUCCUUCGCAACUGCUCUGUGGGCUUCUGCUACCUGCGUCUGGCUGAGAAAGACACCCCUGAUGAGACAGGGGAGACUUCCUCCCGACCUGACGUCUGCAAGCCGUGGUCCUUGGGCUGAUCUUUUCAAUCUGAACAACCUUUCCUCUGCUGAAGAUGUGUUGGCAUGCAGCGAGCUGUUUCAAUUCCUCAUAUCCUGAAGAAGAGUCCUCUGGUUUUAU
RNAcentral lists this long non-coding RNA (229 nucleotides) under Gallus gallus (chicken). Lineage: Eukaryota; Metazoa; Chordata; Aves; Galliformes; Phasianidae. The record is from RNAcentral.